GUGUCAGCAGCCGCGGUAAUACGGAGGAUUCUAGCGUUGUCCGGAUUUAUUGGGUUUAAAGGGUGCGUAGGCGGAUGACUAAGUCAGUGGUGAAAGCCGGCAGCUUAACUGUCGAAAUGCCUUUGAAACUGGUCAUCUUGAAUAUAGUUGAGGUAGGCGGAAUGUGACAUGUAGCGGUGAAAUGCUUAGAUAUGUUACAGAACACCGAUUGCGAAGGCAGCUUACUAAACUAUCAUUGACGCUGAGGCACGAAAGCGUGGGGAUCAAACAGGAUUAGAUACCCUUGUAGUCC
RNAcentral lists this ribosomal RNA (292 nucleotides) under uncultured bacterium. RNAcentral describes it as "partial 16S ribosomal RNA". It matches the Rfam family "Bacterial small subunit ribosomal RNA", at positions 505 to 796 of the family's 1533-position model. The record is from RNAcentral.